AGUCAAAAUGACUCUCGGCAACGGAUAUCUCGGCUCUUGCAUCGAUGAAGAACGUAGCGAAAUGCGAUACUUGGUGUGAAUUGCAGAAUCCCGUGAACCAUCGAGUCUUUGAACGCAAGUUGCGCCCGAAGCCUUUAGGCCAAGGGCACGCCUGCCUGGGUGUCACCAA
RNAcentral lists this ribosomal RNA (169 nucleotides) under Ramorinoa girolae. RNAcentral describes it as "5.8S ribosomal RNA". It matches the Rfam family "5.8S ribosomal RNA". Rfam says of the family: 5.8S ribosomal RNA (5.8S rRNA) is a component of the large subunit of the eukaryotic ribosome. It is transcribed by RNA polymerase I as part of the 45S precursor that also contains 18S and 28S rRNA. Functionally, it is thought that 5.8S rRNA may be involved in ribosome translocation. The record is from RNAcentral. Lineage: Eukaryota; Viridiplantae; Streptophyta; Magnoliopsida; Fabales; Fabaceae.